Long non-coding RNA from Mytilus trossulus (common blue mussel), 247 nucleotides. RefSeq lists it as uncharacterized. The record is from RefSeq and is a predicted model, not a curated record. The transcript has 3 exons. NCBI's taxonomy places the organism in Eukaryota, Metazoa, Mollusca, Bivalvia, Mytilida, Mytilidae.
GAAUAAUCGUAACCACGUUUAAAACAGAAGAUAGAUUAUGGAAUUAAGAUUAUCUAGUAAGAUGACUCGACUGAUGUUUGUGCUGUACAUCAUAAGAGAAAUAUGUAAUGUAAAAAGCCAAAAUACAGGAGAUCUGCGCAUACUUGAAGGAUUGCAAGAACAUAAAGGACGCUUAGAAAUAUUUUAUAAUGAUACAUGGGGAACUGUGUGUGACGAUUCUUUCGACAAUAUUGAUGCACUUGUAGCU